UCCCUGGCAGCCCAGUGGUUAAGACUCUGCUCUUCCAAUGCAGGGGGCACAGGUUCAAUCCCUGGUCAGGGAA
Transfer RNA from Ovis aries (sheep), 73 nucleotides. It matches the Rfam family "tRNA". From Rfam's summary of the family: Transfer RNA (tRNA) molecules are approximately 80 nucleotides in length. Their secondary structure includes four short double-helical elements and three loops (D, anti-codon, and T loops). Lineage: Eukaryota; Metazoa; Chordata; Mammalia; Artiodactyla; Bovidae. The record is from Rfam.